This 484-nucleotide ribosomal RNA is filed under the name uncultured bacterium. RNAcentral's name for it is "partial 16S ribosomal RNA". It matches the Rfam family "Bacterial small subunit ribosomal RNA", at positions 30 to 507 of the family's 1533-position model. The record is from RNAcentral.
AUUGAACGCUGGCGGCAGGCCUAACACAUGCAAGUCGAGCGGAUGAAGGGAGCUUGCUCCUGGAUUCAGCGGCGGACGGGUGAGUAAUGCCUAGGAAUCUGCCUGGUAGUGGGGAAUAACGUCCGGAAACGGGCGCUAAUACCGCAUACGCCCUGAGGGAGAAAGUGGGGGAUCUUCGGACCUCACGCUAUCAGAUGAGCCUAGGUCGGAUUAGCUAGUUGGUGGGGUAAAGGCCUACCAAGGCGACGAUCCGUAACUGGUCUGAGAGGAUGAUCAGUCACACUGGAACUGAGACACGGUCCAGACUCCUACGGGAGGCAGCAGUGGGGAAUAUUGGACAAUGGGCGAAAGCCUGAUCCAGCCAUGCCGCGUGUGUGAAGAAGGUCUUCGGAUUGUAAAGCACUUUAAGUUGGGAGGAAGGGCAGUAAGUUAAUACCUUGCUGUUUUGACGUUACCAACAGAAUAAGCACCGGCUAACUUCGUG